Molecule: ribosomal RNA, 207 nt
Filed under: uncultured bacterium
Lineage: Bacteria
Description: partial 16S ribosomal RNA
Rfam family: Bacterial small subunit ribosomal RNA
Source: RNAcentral
AGCGCAGACGGUUUAUUAAGUCUGAUGUGAAAGCCCGGAGCUCAACUCCGGAAUGGCAUUGGAAACUGGUUAACUUGAGUGCAGUAGAGGUAAGUGGAACUCCAUGUGUAGCGGUGGAAUGCGUAGAUAUAUGGAAGAACACCAGUGGCGAAGGCGGCUUACUGGACUGCAACUGACGUUGAGGCUCAAAAGUGUGGGUAGCAAACA